This 383-nucleotide unclassified non-coding RNA is filed under the name Corydalis nobilis. RNAcentral describes it as "sequence contains 5.8S rRNA gene and ITS2". The stretch from base 1 to 156 matches the Rfam family "5.8S ribosomal RNA". The record is from RNAcentral. Lineage: Eukaryota; Viridiplantae; Streptophyta; Magnoliopsida; Ranunculales; Papaveraceae.
GACUCUCGGCAACGGAUAUCUUGGCUCUCGCAUCGAUGAAGAACGUAGCGAAAUGCGAUACUUGGUGUGAAUUGCAGAAUCCCGUGAAUCAUCGAGUCUUUGAACGCAAGUUGCGCCCUAGGCCGUCAGGCCGAGGGCACGCCUGCCUGGGCGUCACGCACCGAGUCGCCCCCAUCCCUCGACGAUCGAUCGAGGCGGCGGGGGCGGAGAAUGGCCCCCCGUGCCCCCGCGCGCGGCCGGCCCAAACAGAGGCCCCGGGAGGCCGACGUCACGAUCCGUGGUGGUUGUAAAAGACACGCCCUAGAAACCGGAUCCCGUGCACGCCGCGCCGCACCCCGGGCCACAGCGACCCCCGAGGGCCGUCCCCGGACGGUACCCACUCU